Molecule: ribosomal RNA, 254 nt
Filed under: uncultured bacterium
Lineage: Bacteria
Description: partial 16S ribosomal RNA
Rfam family: Bacterial small subunit ribosomal RNA
Source: RNAcentral
UACGGGGGGAGCAAGCGUUGUUCGGAUUUACUGGGCGUAAAGGGCGCGUAGGCGGCCAGCACAAGUCAGUUGUGAAAUCUCCGAGCUUAACUCGGAACGGUCAACUGAUACUGUGCGGCUAGAGUGCAGAAGGGGCAACUGGAAUUCUUGGUGUAGCGGUGAAAUGCGUAGAUAUCAAGAGGAACACCUGCGGCGAAGGCGGGUUGCUGGGCCGACACUGACGCUGAGGCGCGAAAGCCAGGGGAGCGAACGGG